RNAcentral lists this ribosomal RNA (663 nucleotides) under uncultured archaeon. RNAcentral describes it as "bacterial SSU rRNA". It matches the Rfam family "Archaeal small subunit ribosomal RNA", at positions 162 to 828 of the family's 1478-position model. The record is from RNAcentral.
CACUACUUCUGGAAUGGGUAAUGACUCAAAUCUAUAUGGCCCCUGGAUUGGACUGCGGCCGAUCAGGCUGUUGGUGAGGUAAUGGCCCACCAAACCUGUAACCGGUACGGGCUCUGAGAGGAGGAGCCCGGAGAUGGGCACUGAGACAAGGGCCCAGGCCCUAUGGGGCGCAGCAGGCGCGAAACCUCUGCAAUAGGCGAAAGCCUGACAGGGUUACUCUGAGUGAUUUCCGUUAAGGAGAUCUUUUGGCACCUCUAAAAAUGGUGCAGAAUAAGGGGUGGGCAAGUCUGGUGUCAGCCGCCGCGGUAAUACCAGCACCCCGAGUGGUCGGGACGUUUAUUGGGCCUAAAGCAUCCGUAGCCGGUUCUACAAGUCUUCCGUUAAAUCCACCUGCUUAACAGAUGGGCUGCGGAAGAUACUAUGGAGCUAGGAGGCGGGAGAGGCAAGCGGUACUCGAUGGGUAGGGGUAAAAUCCGUUGAUCCAUUGAAGACCACCAGUGGCGAAGGCGGCUUGCCAGAACGCGCUCGACGGUGAGGGAUGAAAGCUGGGGGAGCAAACCGGAUUAGAUACCCGGGUAGUCCCAGCUGUAAACGAUGCAGACUCGGUGAUGAAUUGGCUUUAUGCCAAUUCAGUGCCGCAGGGAAGCCGUUAAGUUUGCCGCC